GUCUGGUCUGUAACUGACGCUGAGGCUCGAAAGUAUGGGUAGCAAACAGGAUUAGAUACCCUGGUAGUCCAUACCGUAAACGAUGAAUGCUAAGUGUUGGAGGGUUUCCGCCCUUCAGUGCUGCAGCUAACGCAUUAAGCAUUCCGCCUGGGGAGUACGGCCGCAAGGCUGAAACUCAAAGGAAUUGACGGGGGCCCGCACAAGCGGUGGAGCAUGUGGUUUAAUUCGAAGCUACGCGAAGAACCUUACCAGGUCUUGACAUNCUAUGCAAAUNUAAGAGAUUAGACGUUCCCUUCGGGGACAUGGAUACAGGUGGUGCAUGGUUGUCGUCAGCUCGUGUCGUGAGAUGUUGGGUUAAGUCCCGCAACGAGCGCAACCCUUAUUAUCAGUUGCCAGCAUUAAGUUGGGCACUCUGGUGAGACUGCCGGUGACAAACCGGAGGAAGGUGGGGAUGACGUCAAAUCAUCAUGCCCCUUAUGACCUGGGCUACACACGUGCUACAAUGGAUGGUACAACGAGUUGCGAACUCGCGAGAGUAAGCUAAUCUCUUAAAGCCAUUCUCAGUUCGGAUUGUAGGCUGCAACUCGCCUACAU
RNAcentral lists this ribosomal RNA (594 nucleotides) under Lactiplantibacillus plantarum. RNAcentral's name for it is "bacterial SSU rRNA". It matches the Rfam family "Bacterial small subunit ribosomal RNA", at positions 727 to 1321 of the family's 1533-position model. The record is from RNAcentral. Lineage: Bacteria; Bacillati; Bacillota; Bacilli; Lactobacillales; Lactobacillaceae.